Molecule: small RNA, 29 nt
Filed under: Bombyx mori (domestic silkworm)
Lineage: Eukaryota; Metazoa; Arthropoda; Insecta; Lepidoptera; Bombycidae
Description: ovarian small RNA-35718
Source: RNAcentral
UGUCGAGGGUGAUGCCUAAAUAUUUGGCC